RNAcentral lists this ribosomal RNA (55 nucleotides) under Haemophilus influenzae. Its description in RNAcentral is "partial 16S ribosomal RNA". The record is from RNAcentral. Lineage: Bacteria; Pseudomonadati; Pseudomonadota; Gammaproteobacteria; Pasteurellales; Pasteurellaceae.
UUGAAUUGAAGAGUUUGAUCAUGGCUCAGAUUGAACGCUGGCGGCAGGCUUAACA